Molecule: unclassified non-coding RNA, 275 nt
Filed under: Hevea brasiliensis (rubber tree)
Lineage: Eukaryota; Viridiplantae; Streptophyta; Magnoliopsida; Malpighiales; Euphorbiaceae
Source: RNAcentral
AGACCACACAACUUACCGUCGUCUUCAGCUACUCUUCGGGCCGCCGCCGUUGAUUGCCACCGGAAACUUCCAAUUAUUCCUCCUACAAAACCGCCGGAAAAUAUUAGCGAAUUUUUCGUGGCCAUUGUUAGCGCUCAUGAGUGAACAGACGCAAACUCCACCUCAACCUCUACCCACUUCUUCUGAUUCCACCCUUGUAUCGAACUCUCCAGUUGAUCUUCCACCAAACCCCUCUAACCCUUCCAAAAUCCCAAUUCGACCACAGAAAAUCCGAA